This is a non-coding RNA of Schizosaccharomyces pombe (fission yeast), 1041 nucleotides long. NCBI's taxonomy places the organism in Eukaryota, Fungi, Ascomycota, Schizosaccharomycetes, Schizosaccharomycetales, Schizosaccharomycetaceae. The record is from the annotation of a GenBank genome assembly.
AUUUUCAAUUUGUUAAUUGUAGAAGAUUAACAUACUAAUGCUGUUCUAAAAAGGGUAAUCUCCUUCGGGCUCAGUUGAACUUUGGCCAUGGGUAAGUGUAGAGGACAGGUUGGGAAGAGUACGAACCCUUGGAAUGAAUUUCGUUAAUGUGUUCCACAUUGCAAGGUUGCUUUCUUCUUCAUUACUCUUUGUCUUGUGCUUAUAAAAAGACGUUGAUUCAUAAAUUAUCUCGUAUCGUUGAAUGUUAGACCUGGAAGAAAUGGUUUUGUAGAAAAAGACAGCAAACAUUGCGUUCAUACUUCGCUGAGUACUACAUAUUCAAAAAAUCGUUUAUGGAAACUUAUCGAAUAGCCAUGCAAUGGACGAUGGAUGGUAAACAUGAAAAGAUGGCACAUCGAGAACAAUUUUUGCAUGUCCUUCUUAUAUGAAAAUACGAAAAUUCAAAGAGUAAACAAACUAUUUUUAAGUAUUUUGGCCAGUAUCGAUGAACCAAAUGACUACAUCAAUUUUCAUUAUUGGUUCAAUUGCUAGUUGUUUGCAAUUACUGGGGACACGGUAUUACAUAUCUGUAAGGCAAAGUUUAUCGGGAAUCUUUUGAAUAGAAAACCAGUAUACUCCAGUAUAUUUAUAAACUAAUUAUUAUUUGGCAAUACCACUUAAUUAUUUAAAACGGUUCGUAGCUUCACUCCUCAACUAGAAACGUCCCAACAUCCAAGGUUGAAACAAAAGGUACAUUACAAACUAGAGAAGUUAAAACAAUCAGUGGAUUGAAAAUCUCUUAAAUUUACUAAUUCCUGAUACUAUGGGAUACGACUUCACAUUUCUACAGACUUCCUCAUCUAGCAAUACACUAGUUCUGUUAAACAAAAUUGGAUAAUUGUGCCUUUAAAAAUAUUACAGAAAAAAAGUAUAAUGGCAAUUUUUUCUUAUCUGUAGGAUUUGUUUAGCAGCUACACGAGAUUUACCUACCUUGCGGAGUUCUCAGUAGAAGAAGAACUCGUUGCUUUUCAAGUAUUUGGCAAACAGAGAUGCAUUGCACAA